AAGAGACAUUUAUAUUAUAUGUAAGUUUUUGACACUAGAUAUUUAGUUGAAAAUUCCUAACGCCAACUAAAAUGGCUCUAUGUAAGCAACAAUUUAAACAGUCCCUUGUUUUUCUUUGUUUAUUUCUAAGUAACUUUUCACAUUGAAAAUCAAACUAAAAGCAAGUCAGUAAAACCUAUUUGAUUAAAUGAAAAUGUCAUGUAUUUCACAAGUUUUAAAAAAUCUUGUCUGGCAAAAUGUUUAAUAAGAAAAAUCUGGUUUUGUUUUGCUCUGUUUUAUUUUGCUCUUACUUGCAGCUUGUCCUGAAGAUCACUAUGGGCAGAACUGUGUUCAAUGGCGUUCCUGUGGCUCAGGACAGUGUGACCCAGUGACUGGAGUGUGUCAGUGUCCACCUGGCCGAAUGGGAACCAGGUGUCAGGAAGGUAACAAUGGGCAGGGUCACCUUCUCUGUCCAAGCACUAAAUUAGCUAUGCUGCGAAAGCAGAUUUGGUGCCAACGAAGAUAAUUAUAUGGACAAUAUUUACAAGAAUGUUUUCUGUUAGUGUGGCUUUCAAAUAACAUGAAAGUACAUGCUCCCGAGCCGGGCGCGGUGACUCACGCCUGUAAUCCCAGCACUUUGGGAGGCCGAGGAGGGCGGAUCACGAGGUCAGGAGAUCGAGACCAUCCUGGCUAAGACAGUGAAACCCCGCCUCUACUAAAAAUAUAAAAAAUUAUUGGGGCGUGGUGGCGGGUGCCAGUAGUCCCAACUACUCAGUAGGCUGAGGCAGGAGAAUGGCGUGAACCCGGGAGACGGAGCUUGCAGUGAGCUGGGAUCGCCCCACUGCACUGCAGCCUGGGCGACAGAGCAAGACUCAAUCACAAAAAAAAAAAAAAAAAAAAAAAAAAAGGACAUGCUCUCAUAGCACUAUAUAGAAAAUAGUGCUGGAAGAUAAGCACAAAUUGGAAACAAAAGUAAAGAAUAACUUAUGCAUGCUCUUGACUGGGAAGAAAUUUUCAGAUAACAUUUGUUAACUUUUAUAAAACUGCCAAAAAUUGUGUGUUGGAGAAGUCUAAUUAUAAGAACUACAGAAUUUUAUAUCCCCUUCAAUCAGAAGGUUGAACCUGAAGAGGCCCCCUGAAAUCUAUAAGAAAAAUGGGAGACAAGGAGAAAAACAUAAUCUUUGUUGAAAACUGCAAAAUUUUCUUAUCCUAAUUGUAGUAUUUAUUAUUACUAUCAUAAGGAGAGAAGAGCUGUCAAGUUUCAGAAAACAGGGAUUUUUCGGGAGAAUACUGGGCCCCUAUAGAUCUUAAGUAGGGCCAGCAGAGCAGCCACUUCUCCAUGGCACACACACAGAGCAAAACUAAGGACACUUUCCUGAAAAAUAAAGAUUGGGUGAAUAGGAGGGCUAUUGAAACUUCUCUGAAUCCCACUGAACAUCUUAGAGUGGAGGAAAACUGGGCAAAAACAAAACAAAACAAAACAAGAAUUAUACAGACAUACCAUGUUUUUAACUCUGCACUAGGACAGAAGGGAAUCUGUGGGGUAGUUUAGCAGCCUUGCAACUGAAGAGAAGCUCAACACACACAAAUAUCUCACACACACACACACACACACAUACACAUACAUACAUCCCACACCUUGUGUUAUAUGGAGCUGCACUCUGGACGAAGAAGGCUUUCUUCUAGCUGAGAUCAUUUUUCUAACCCUAAAUAGACACUAUCCUUCCAGAAAUAUGUGGUGCAUUAAAAAAUGAAGCUUGUACAAAAAAAUACUUCUCUCAUUUUACAAACAAAAAAUGAAACUGUUCAAAGCUUCCCUUGCUGUUUUAGUGCAAAUUCUGUAAGAAGGAAAAAGGAAUAAAGGAAUAUGAAAAAGAAAAGGCAGAUGAAACAACAGCAGAAAAGUUUUGCUAUGGAGCACAUGAAGAUAUUAACCAGAAUCUCUUCCAAGAAUUCAAAGGAUGUAAUGAAAAAGUGUUCUCUAUAAAAUGUGAGUGCAAUGCAGAGAUACAGGGGUUCAUGGAAUAAAUGAAAAGACAACAAAAGGAAAUGAAAAAGUAAGCUGGCAGAGCUCAAAAAAGAAGUGGAAAUGAAAAUUGAACCUCACAUCAUAUAAAUGAAGGCCACAUUGGGAGCAGGUAAAGGAAGGACAGAAUCUGCUGAUAGUACAGCCAGGAUAAAAAAAAAAAAAAAAAAACGAGGAAAAUAAAAAUAAUGAAAUGGAAAAGAAAUGAGAAAGAAAUGUAUACUUGGAAGAGGAAAAUGUUCAGAUAUAAUAUUCAAGAUUUUUCCUUUGAAAUAAAAGAUCUGAUGCUACAUAUUGAAUGAAUAUAUUUUAUCUCGGGAAAUAAUAGUUACAGUGGCUCAAAAGCAAGGGGAAACUCCAUUGAGGAUAUAAGGAAAAAAUAUGAGCUUACUUAAGAGUGAGAAAAAUCAGUCUGACUUUUUACCUCACAGCAAUAUUCAUUGCCAACAUAUGGCUAAUCAAUGCUUAUUAAGUUUGUGAGGAAAAAAUGUGACAUGUAUUUUAUACACCAUUAGCUGUUAUCCAAAUAUAACAUGGUGGCAAAUUAACCACUUUUUAAAAAGUUGCUGGAAAUAUAGUAGCCUUAAAAUAUUUUAAAGAAACAAUUGCGAGAUAAAUUGAAGCAGCCAAAUAAUAAAUGGGAAAUAUCUGAUAAAAAGACUAUUAGUAAACAUUGCAUUCAUCUUAAUUAAGGCUAAGUUUAAAACAAUUGUGGGAAUUAUGGCUACAUGAUAGAAGAUAAAUAUUAUAAAUUAUAACAAUUGUAGAGAUUUUAACAUAGUGCUAACAAGGCAUAAACUGGAAAGACAGAGAAGGCAAAGGAGUAUAGGUAUACUGGUCUUAUUUCCUCAUUCAAGUUUGUGGGGUACAUGGGAGAGAUCUGUGUCAAAACAUAUUAUUUAAAUAUAACAAUUCAAUAAGUGUGUUUAAGUGUAUAAAGGUACAUUCUAGAAUUUAGAAUGCUUCAAUUGAGAUGUUAAGAAUAAAAAUACACCCAACUAAAAUCAGAUGGAGGAGCGAAAUGAAAAAAAAAUAAGAGAAAGCAGAAUCAUAUUAAUUUCAUUACCAUUUAUACUGAGUUACCAUGUACUAAAUAAAGAAGUUUACUAUAUUAUAUAAUGUCUGCACUAUCUAAACAAAGUUCCCUAAAUUAUGUAAGAGUAUAUUUAUAAGGCCCAUGUAGAGAACGAUGGAGUGCACAUACCUUUUCCUAUUGCUCUCUUUCAACAUAGUAAACAUUCCACACAAUGUAGAAAACAAACAUAAGUCUCUGAAAUAUGAAGAAAAGAAGGCAGAUUGGAUAAGAAACUUAGAAAUCUAGGAAACAACAUGAUGGUGAGUUCCCUGGUUUUGUUUUGUUUUGUUUUUUGUCUCAUAUAUCCCAGACUGAGUGCUGGAGAAACCUGCAACCCAGGUAGGCCAAUGGGUGCAGACAAAGGUCUAAGAUACAAUUGAUUUCUCUAGUCAAAGGACAGGAAAGGGGGCAGUCUAGCGAUACAGAAAACUUUUAGAAAAUAACUGGUCUUCUUCAGGCAAACACUACAAAAUGAAACUGUGUCCUCAAUCCCAAUCCCAUGAGCAAGGGCCAAAUGAGGAGUGUGCACUUCAAACCCCAUCCUGAUAUGAGAAGGUACCCCUCUCUACCCCACACACCAGGAUUGUGUAAGAGAAGGCAUUGUGGGGAGUUUGGACUUCAUCUCUACCAGAUAGUAACAAGCCCUCUAACUAUGCAGUGUCCAUGGUGACCAUGUGAUGUGAAGAGUGUGGACUUUCACCUCCACCAGAUAGCAAGGAGACAUCGCUCCUCCCUUCUGGGUGGUAUCAGAGGAGGUCUAGUAGAGAGUCAGAAUUCCCACAACCACCAAGCAGUAAUGAAUGUAGUGUCAGUGGAGAUCAGGUGGGAGCCAUAGGAUGCACCUCUAAUCCUAUCAGUGACAUUGGUAUUAGCAGAGGCCUAGUGAUGAGCUGAAUUCCCAUCCUGCCCCAGCAGGAAACAGCCCCAUUUAUCCAGUCUCCUACUUGGUGACCAUGUAGGGAACUUGAACUUCUACCUGGUGAACCCUUAUUCUCACCAGUGUAAUAUAGGAGGAGGAGACUGCUAAAAUGGAAAAUUUAAAUGAGAUCCAUGUUCUGGUAUCAUAAUAUUCAAAAUUUCCAGGUUUCAAUUUUUAAAAAUUCAUCAACCAACAACUUGGAGAAUUUCAACUUAAGGAAAAGGAGACAAUCAACAGAUGCCAACACAGAGAGGACACUAAUGUUAAAUUUAUCUGACAAGAAUUUUAAAGCAUUUAUCAUAAAAAUACCUCAAUGAGUAACUACAGAUAUAAUUAAGACAAAUAAAAAAUUAAAAGGCUCAGCAAAGAAUAAAAGACCUUAAGAAGAACCAAAUGGAAAUUUUAGAACUGGAAAAUAAAAUUACCAAAAUAAAAAGCUCAAUGGAUGAGUUCAACAGCAGAAUGAAGUGGACAGAGGAACAAACCAAUGAACUUGAAGGAAUGAUGGAAAUUACCCAACCUGAACAACAAAGAGAGAAAAAAAUAGCAACCAACAAACACACACACACAGCCUCAGAGACCUGUAGUACUAUAAGAAAAUAUCUACCAUUAUGUCAUCUGAGUCCCAGAAGAGGAAAAAGAGGGUGGAAAUGAAAAAAUAUUUAAAGGAAUAAUGGCUGAAAAUUUUCUGAAUGUGACAAUAAACAUAAACCUACAUAUUGAAGAAGCUGUGUUAAUGCCAAACAAGAUAAACUCAAAGAAAUUUACAAAAGUCAUAUCAACAUCAAACUUCUGAAAAUUAUAUACUGAUUUAACUAAUAUAUAAA
RNAcentral lists this long non-coding RNA (4826 nucleotides) under Homo sapiens (human). RNAcentral describes it as "long non-coding RNA NONHSAT194852.1". Lineage: Eukaryota; Metazoa; Chordata; Mammalia; Primates; Hominidae. The record is from RNAcentral.